CACGCAGGCGGAUUGAUAAGUCAGGGGUGAAAUCCCGGGGCUCAACCUCGGAAUUGCCUCUGAUACUGUCUGUCUUGAGUUCGGGAGAGGUUGGCGGAAUUCCUAGUGUAGAGGUGAAAUUCGUAGAUAUUAGGAAGAACACCAGUGGCGAAGGCGGCCAACUGGCCCGAUACUGACGCUCAUGUGCGAAAGCGUGGGGAGCAAACAGGAUUAGAUACCCUGGUAGUCCACGCCGUAAACUAUGGAUGCUAGCCGUUGGGGAGCUUGCUCUUCAGUGGCGCAGCUAACGUCUUAAGCAUCCCGCCUGGGGAGUACGGUCGCAAGAUUAAA
RNAcentral lists this ribosomal RNA (330 nucleotides) under uncultured bacterium. RNAcentral describes it as "bacterial SSU rRNA". It matches the Rfam family "Bacterial small subunit ribosomal RNA", at positions 568 to 898 of the family's 1533-position model. The record is from RNAcentral.